GGGUAGUUUGACUGGGGCGGUCUCCUCCUAAAGAGUAACGGAGGAGCACGAAGGUUGGCUAAUCCUGGUCGGACAUCAGGAGGUUAGUGCAAUGGCAUAAGCCAGCUUGACUGCGAGCGUGACGGCGCGAGCAGGUGCGAAAGCAGGUCAUAGUGAUCCGGUGGUUCUGAAUGGAAGGGCCAUCGCUCAACGGAUAAAAGGUACUCCGGGGAUAACAGGCUGAUACCGCCCAAGAGUUCAUAUCGACGGCGGUGUUUGGCACCUCGAUGUCGGCUCAUCACAUCCUGGGGCUGAAGUAGGUCCCAAGGGUAUGGCUGUUCGCCAUUUAAAGUGGUACGCGAGCUGGGUUUAGAACGUCGUGAGACAGUUCGGUCCCUAUCUGCCGUGGGCGCUGGAGAACUGAGGGGGGCUGCUCCUAGUACGAGAGGACCGGAGUGGACGCAUCACUGGUGUUCGGGUUGUCAUGCCAAUGGCACUGCCCGGUAGCUAAAUGCGGAAGAGAUAAGUGCUGAAAGCAUCUAAGCACGAAACUUGCCCCGAGAUGAGUUCUCCCUGACUCCCUGAGAGUCCUGAAGGAACGUUGAAGACGACGACGUUGAUAGGCCGGGUGUGUAAGCGCAGCGAUGCGUUGAGCUAACCGGUACUAAUGAACCGUGAGGCUUAACCUU
Molecule: ribosomal RNA, 668 nt
Filed under: Escherichia coli
Lineage: Bacteria; Pseudomonadati; Pseudomonadota; Gammaproteobacteria; Enterobacterales; Enterobacteriaceae
Description: partial 23S ribosomal RNA
Rfam family: Bacterial large subunit ribosomal RNA
Source: RNAcentral